Anastrepha ludens (Mexican fruit fly) is the source of this 592-nucleotide long non-coding RNA. RefSeq lists it as uncharacterized. The record is from RefSeq and is a predicted model, not a curated record. Lineage: Eukaryota; Metazoa; Arthropoda; Insecta; Diptera; Tephritidae. The transcript has 3 exons.
CAAAAAAGAAAUUGCAAAGGUAACGAAAAAGCAGAUGAACUAGGGGGGAUCUGCUGAAGGAAAGAAUGCCAACCCUGAGCAUACCGCGGUCCAAGUGUCUCGAAAAACUGUCUGGCUUAGAUGUCAACAACCUAAGAAGAUUCCUGAAGUGCACCAACUGGAUAUAGGCAAGCUGUAAAUAACCGUUAAGUAAGUGGAUAACGAGGAUCUUUGAACAAAAUGCAAUUUUCGAAUGAAUGGAAAUUAAAUAAUAUAAAAAUACAUAUAAAUGUAAUGACUUACCGCCAAUUAGCAAAUACAAAGAAAUAUUUUUUCACGCCAUUGGACUAUCACAACGAAGUAACUCUUUCAAACUGUGUACAGAACCUUUCUCGGUCCUAGCUUAUAUAAGAACAACUUCACGAGACUUUGCACAAACAAUAAAUAUUAAACAUUUCUAAACAGCAAUUAAAAUAAAAUUAUAGUAAAAUAGCCAAAACUUGGAUUUGAAAGAAUUUGCUGCUACACUGAUGUAUGACGGCACAAGCAAAACUAACUUUUUUUUCUAAAAUACAAUGUUUUAACAUUAAAGUUCACUUUAUCAUGCCAACAG